RNAcentral lists this unclassified non-coding RNA (339 nucleotides) under soil metagenome. Its description in RNAcentral is "partial contains 5.8S ribosomal RNA, internal transcribed spacer 2, and large subunit ribosomal RNA". The stretch from base 1 to 120 matches the Rfam family "5.8S ribosomal RNA", at positions 35 to 154 of the family's 154-position model. The record is from RNAcentral.
GAUGAAGAACGCAGCGAAAUGCGAUACGUAGUGUGAAUUGCAGAAUUCAGUGAAUCAUCGAAUCUUUGAACGCACAUUGCACCUCUCGGUAUUCCGGGAGGUAUGCCUGUUCGAGCGUCAUUUGUACCCUCAAGCUCUGCUUGGUGUUGGGUGUUUGUUCCGCCUCUGUGUGUGAACUCGCCUCAAAACAAUUGGCAGCCGGCGUACUUGUUUCGGAGCGCAGCACAUUUUGCGAUCCAGAUCAACGUACAGCGGCAUCCAAGAAGCCUUAUUUAACGCUCUUGACCUCGGAUCAGGUAGGGAUACCCGCUAAACUUAAGCAUAUCAAUAAGCGGAGGA